CGUAGGGUGCAAGCGUUAAUCGGAAUUACUGGGCGUAAAGCGUGCGCAGGCGGUUGUGUAAGACAGGUGUGAAAUCCCCGGGCUUAACCUGGGAACUGCACUUGUGACUGCACGGCUGGAGUGCGGCAGAGGGGGAUGGAAUUCCGCGUGUAGCAGUGAAAUGCGUAGAUAUGCGGAGGAACACCGAUGGCGAAGGCAAUCCCCUGGGCCUGCACUGACGCUCAUGCACGAAAGCGUGGGGAGCAAACAGGAUUAGAUACCCUGGUAGUCCACGCCCUAAACGAUGUCAACUGGUUGUUGGUCCUUCACUGGAUCAGUAACGAAGCUAACGCGUGAGGUUGACCGCCUGGGGAGUACGGCCGCAAGGUUG
RNAcentral lists this ribosomal RNA (370 nucleotides) under uncultured organism. Its description in RNAcentral is "bacterial SSU rRNA". It matches the Rfam family "Bacterial small subunit ribosomal RNA", at positions 526 to 896 of the family's 1533-position model. The record is from RNAcentral.